This 259-nucleotide ribosomal RNA is filed under the name uncultured bacterium. Its description in RNAcentral is "partial 16S ribosomal RNA". It matches the Rfam family "Bacterial small subunit ribosomal RNA", at positions 1245 to 1500 of the family's 1533-position model. The record is from RNAcentral.
AGAAGCAAAACAAGUGAUGUGGAGGCAAAACUCAAAAAGACGGUCUCAGUUCGGACUGAAGGCUGAAAUUCGCCUUCACGAAGUCGGAAUUGCUAGUAAUGGCAGGUCAGCAUACUGCCGUGAAUACGUUCCCGGGCCUUGUACACACCGCCCGUCACACCAUGAGAGUCGAUAACACCCGAAGCCUGUGAGCUAACCUUUUAGGAGGCAGCAGUCGAAGGUGGGGUUGAUGAUUGGGGUGAAGUCGUAACAAGGUAGC